RNAcentral lists this ribosomal RNA (468 nucleotides) under uncultured bacterium. Its description in RNAcentral is "partial 16S ribosomal RNA". It matches the Rfam family "Bacterial small subunit ribosomal RNA", at positions 28 to 507 of the family's 1533-position model. The record is from RNAcentral.
GACGAACGCUGGCGGCGUGCUUAACACAUGCAAGUCGAACGGAAAGGCCCUGCUUUCGUGGGGUGCUCGAGUGGCGCGCGGGUGUGUAACCCGUGAGUAACCUUCCCUUGACUGUAGGAUAACUUCAGGAAACUGGGGCUAAUACCGGAUAGGUGCUCCUGCUGCAUGGUGGGGUUUGGAAAGUUUCGGCCGUAGGGGAUGGACUCGCGGCUUAUCAGCUGGUUGGGUGGGUAGUCGCUAACCCAGGCUUCGGCUGGUAGCCGGCCUGAGAGGUGGAACGGGCACAUGGGGACUGAGAUACGGCGCAGACUCGUACGGGAGGCAGUAGGGGGGAACAUUGCACAAUCGGCGGAAGCCUGAUGCAGCAGCGCCGCGUGCGUGAUGACGUCCUUCGGGUUGUGAACCGCAUUCGCCUGAGACGUAGCGUGAGUGACGGUAAUGGGUAAAGAAGCACCGGCUAACUACGUG